Molecule: ribosomal RNA, 307 nt
Filed under: Clostridioides difficile
Lineage: Bacteria; Bacillati; Bacillota; Clostridia; Peptostreptococcales; Peptostreptococcaceae
Description: bacterial SSU rRNA
Rfam family: Bacterial small subunit ribosomal RNA
Source: RNAcentral
CGGUCCAAACUCCUACGGGAGGCAGCAGUGGGGAAUAUUGCACAAUGGGCGAAAGCCUGAUGCAGCAACGCCGCGUGAGUGAUGAAGGCCUUCGGGUCGUAAAACUCUGUCCUCAAGGAAGAUAAUGACGGUACUUGAGGAGGAAGCCCCGGCUAACUACGUGCCAGCAGCCGCGGUAAGACGUAGGGGGCUAGCGUUAUCCGGAUUUACUGGGCGUAAAGGGUGCGUAGGCGGUCUUUCAAGUCAGGAGUGAAAGGCUACGGCUCAACCGUAGUAAGCGCUUGAAACUGGGAGACUUGAGUGCAGG